RNAcentral lists this ribosomal RNA (138 nucleotides) under Oligodon ocellatus. Its description in RNAcentral is "partial 16S ribosomal RNA". The record is from RNAcentral. Lineage: Eukaryota; Metazoa; Chordata; Lepidosauria; Squamata; Colubridae.
GCCCAUAAUAACGCACAAAUAUACACUAUAGAAAAACAAAGCAUUUGACUAGCCUAGUAGAUGAGAUCGAACAGUAAAUACAAUUAGUACCGCAAGGGAAAUAAAUUAAGCAAUGAACAGCAAAGAUUAACCCUUGUA